UGUCUCCUUUUUUGGGGAUCUUCACUGUGUGCCCGUGUUUUCAAUCAGUGGUGUUUUCUUCACUUUCCCAGAUCUUACCAAGCAGAUCAUACAAGAUGUUGACUGUGAAGUUCGUGUCAGCCUUGAGUGCUUGUGGAGGGAUUGCGUCAGGUCCUGCUGCUUUACCGGACUUAAACAUCUGGAUGACUUUUCUGAUUUCCGUCCUAUUUGGCCACCUUGUGAAAUGGGGAGAGUUGUCUCUGCUGGUGAUAUGGUGAUGGGAGAUGGACAGUGGAAGAGCUCCUUCAAUUUGUCACAUUCGUCCUUCUGGUUUUUGGCUUGCCUGUCUUUACAUUGACUGGGUUGCCCGUAGCCCGAUAUUUACUUGUUGGUUUCGUUGUGGAUUCGUUCAGCUCUUCCAGGUUGUUUUCUUGCGUUCCAUUUACUUUUCUACCAUAUUUCAGAGCUGAAACAAAUUGGAGAAAUGUCAAACAAUUUCUUAAGAUAAAAAAAUACAAACGUACUGAAGUAAAACACCGUUCACGAGAUAACAAUAUCCUUGCAGAAAUCAGUGAUUAUUGUCUUAUUCAUUUAGUGACACAUCCGAAAGCAAAUAUAAGCUUUUUACGCAGUUACAAGAAAGGUGAGGGAGAGUAAGAGAUUUUGCGGCGGAGCGAUGGAGGGACUUGGAAUUCAUUGAGGAAUAUAUAUGAGAUGCUCGGAACAUGAGUUUGUCUCGUAAUAUCUCGAUGUUCAAUUUAGGAUUUUGAUUCUCGAGGGUGGAAACGUCUCCGAGGAAAAUGGGAGGCCUGCAGAAAGCAGCAUGCUUCGAUAUUGCUAUGACCAAUGUGGCCAUCCUCAGACCAGUCAUAGGAGGUUUUUUGGUUUCAUCUCGUUUGAACUGUGCUACAUUCUGCCUGGGAAUUAAAAAAUGUAAGUCUAUAGACACACAUUCCCUUGGCAACCAGACGAUGUGUCAGAUGGCUGCACAGAAGUACCCACGUGUAGAACAUCAAAAAUGGUCGAGAUUAUACUGUAGGAGGUGUGCCGUUAAACAAUACAGAAAGACACUGCCAUCGGUUCCUUUCAUACCCCCUGUGACCUUGGGACGAUUGGAUAAGUGGUUUCGUAAUGGAGAGUACAAACUGCUCGUAUUCUUCUUUUAUGGAAUGAUGAUACAGAAGUCAGUUAAAGUCUUGGUUUACCACGACAAUGCCAAAGACAAUUCUUUCCGAGUUCGAUACAAUUAUUCAGUAGAGAAGCGUCCGUAUAGCUUUCCUCAAUUGCAUGCCGACAGAAUGUGGCUGACCUUGGGAACGUACACGUCAUCAUCAACUGGCCAGCGCCGCUACAAAGUGUUGUUAUAUGAUUCAAAGAAUGGACAACUCUUACUUUCAAUAUUUUGGCAGGCAGGCGAUACAUGUACGCAUUACAACCGAAGAGAUGUAAGGGGAUAUCCGUUCAUAUAUUCACAUGAAAACGAUAUCAUUUUGGUCGACUGCCAAUACAAGAAAAGGUUGGAGGUGAAAAUCUAUAAUAUAACAUUUGAUGCAGCCGUUCUCUACUUAAAUCAAGGACGAACUCUUAUAAAUAUGCCUGACAACGGAGACUGGAGAAGGACAACUCAAUUGCCUGAUUGGAAUUUUUACGUUUUUGGUGGCGAUUCUAAACAACCGAAUAUAGAGAUUUGCCUAUAUUCUCGGCGUCAUAACUUGAGGAGAAUUCAAGGCAGAUUAAAGCUAGGUUUUCCAAAUAUAUCUUUUUCACGUAACAUUCCCCACUAUGACAGUAAAGAACACAUCGUUAUAAUAAGAGACGAAAGGCGGCGUCUGGUGUCAUUUACUGAGGUUCUUGGCGUCUCAACGGACGGUUCCGUACGAAUUCGGCAAUUCUCCCUCAUACCAUCUCCAAGGUAUGCUGUUACUACCUACAUGCACAUAACCCUCAGUCAUUGCAAUGAGAUACUUGGUGUAUGGGAGGAUUUAAAAAAGGAACCUUAUAUUCGACAUCUGACUAGAUACACCGCCAUCGAAAGAGAUGGGUAAUGCGCUGUUAUCUCCUCUCAGUACCUUUCAUAAGAAAACGUCACUGUACUUUUUGGCUGUUGUACGAAAACUACAUGGUCGAUAUCCUCAAAAUUUGAUUUUUCUUAAGUUUAAUUUACGAUCCAUCAUAAAUUCAGCGAUUAGUUACGUAUAUUAACGGACUUUUAACAGUAACAAGUAUACGUAUUUGAUCGCCAAAACGUAGAUGAAAAAGGAAAUUUGGGUCGGAAAGUUAGAUUUAAGAAAAAGCUAUUUUUUGAAAAAAUCAGCCGACUAGUUUUCGCUCAGCGGCCCAAAAGGACAAUGACAUCAUACAUGGAAGGUUGUGACACCACUAUCGCUGCAGCCAAAACGACACAUAGAGCACCAUUAGGUGCAUGUGCAAUUUCACCGUAUAUUGGGACUAGUCUAGCCAGAAUAACCAGCCUAAACCAGACCCUGUUCUUGACUGUGAAUGUCGGUCAAACCAGAGUCUUUCAAUAGGUUUAUAAAUUUAUUGAGAGGCUCUGGUCAAACUAUGGGGGAAACUUAACCAUUAUCAUACGGUGAACCAAGGCUGGAAUCUCCGGAAUCUCUCGGUUCCCGGCCUUGGAUGCUGCAUAAUGAUCGAUGAACCUCGUGUGUGGCUGAUGCACAUCACUGUCUGAGUAUCAAAAGUCUCAAGCCCCGCUCCCCAGCCGCGUCCUAGUAGACACGGUGUUAUAAGGUCAGUUUAUUUAGGUCCGUGCACUGUAUAAGUACAUGUAUUGAAACAACUACAAAAUUUCGAAUUCGAGUUCUAUUUUGAAAUUUUUGAACGAACGAAGAUGCCUUAAAAGAGAAUAUCUGUGAUGUAAACUUUGCUAUGAAUGAUGCUUAGCCUUGGCUGCAGACGGAUGACAAUUUGAACAGAUUCUUGUUAGAUUCUGUAAGACUCUACGUUCAUAUAUCAGAAACUGGUAUCUCAUAGAUAACAAUAUUAGCGGGAGUAUUUGUCCUAUGUCCUUGAUUACAGAAAGAGGACUAUCUUAACAUGAUUCUUGCGAACAUUCUAUAAUAUUGUAAAGACUCUACGCAUAUCAGAAACUGAAUAUAACAGUAAUUCCAUAGAUAAAAUCUCAGCGGUAUGUGUGGGAAACCUGAAUGGUCUCGUGCAAGGGAUGACAUUUCAGUGACGGGGUGUUUUUCAGGGUGAAUAGGCCUAACUGCUCUAAAAAAUCAGUUGAUAAUGCAAUCCUUACUAUAGGAUAACUAUGAUAAGAUACAAUGCGAUUUCAAAUCUCCUCUACUUCGAAAAAAGCCUACCGAUCGUAAGGUAUUGAUCCUUAUCAAUUUCCAACAAGUGUAUCAAUCAAGAAUAGAUGUUGUUGGGCUGUAUCCCCAUUGUUAUCAGUAUAUAUCUCUGCUUUACUGCAGACUGCCUUGUCAGAUUUGUUUCAGAGAUAGAUCCGGCAUCGUAAUCGAUGGCCACCACGGUACACGGGUAUUAGUCGUCCGCAAUUCCAUCCACGCCAGCAUACUCUACCCGCGGACUUGAGAGGUCAGUUUCGCAAUAGUAAAUUCCUCCUUUUUCCGACUGUACAUAGCGUGCCAUAUUUGAUUAGGUAGUGUGCGAAUGGUGAAACGACCAAAAGAAAACAAUACAAAGUGAACAAUCGAAAUAAAAAUUCCAAACAUGAAUUUGAAGAUAAGUUUGGUUGUGUAUCAUAUGCGUUACGUUUACAUAUAAACGUAACGCAGUUACAAAAUCUAAACUGCAUGAACAAAAAACAUGGAGAGAGAAGGCAACUUGUCGUACCCAUUGGGAUCCUAAAAAGACACACUUUGUGGAUUACUUGGCAUGUUGAGAGUUCGUACGUGUUGCGAAUCAGGUUGACGAUCUUUCCUGGAUGCCAUGAUGUUCUAGGUGUCUCCACAGAGUUUGUCGAUCGACGCUAUCAAAUGCUUUUUCAAAGUCAACGAAGAGCUGACACAAAUUGGAGAAAUGUCAAACAAUUUUUAAAGAAAAUUAUACAAACAUACUGAAGUAAAACACACGAGAUAACAAUAUGCUUGCAGAAAUCAGUGAUUAUUGUCUUAUUCAUUUAGUGACACAUCCGAAAGCAAAUAUAAGUUUUUUACGCAGUUACAAGAAAGGUGGGGGGAGAGUAUGAGUUUUUGCGGCGGAGCGAUGGAGGGACUUGGAAUUCAUUGAGGAAUAUAUAUGAGAUGCUCGGAACAUGAGUUUGUCUCGUAAUAUCUCGAUGUUCAUUUUAGGAUUUUGAUUCUCGAGGGUGGAAACGUCUCCGAGGAAAAUGGGAGGCCUGCAGAAAGCAGCAUGCUUCGAUAUUGCUUUGACCAAUGUGGCCAUCCUCAGACCAGUCAUAGGAGGCUUUUUGGUUUCAUCUCGUUUGAACUGUGCUACAUUCUGCCUGGGAAUUCAAAAAUGUAGGUCUAUAGACACACAUUCCCUUGGCAACCAGACGAUGUGUCAGAUGGCUGCACAGAAGUACCCACGUGUAGAACAUCAAAGAUGGUCGAGAUUAUACUGUAGGAGGUGUGCCGUUAAACAAUACAGAACGACACUGCCAUCGGUUCCUUUCAUACCCCCUGUGACCUUGGGACGAUUGGAUAAGUGGUUUCGUAAUGGAGAGUACAAACUGUUCGUAUUCUUCUUUUAUGGAAUGAUGAUACAGAAGUCAGUUAAAGUCUUGGUUUACCACGACAAUGCCAAAGACAACUCUUUUCAAGUUCGAUACAAUUAUUCAGUAGAGAAGCGUCCAUAUAGCUUUCUUCAAUUGCACGCCGACAGAAUGUGGCUGACCUUGGGAACGUACACGUCAUCAUCAACUGACCAGCGCAGCUUCAAAGUGUUGUUAUAUGAUUCAAAGAAUGGACAACUGUUACAUUCAAUAUUUUGGCAGGCAGGCGAUACAUGUACGCGUUACAACCGAGGAGUAG
Lineus longissimus is the source of this 4943-nucleotide long non-coding RNA. RefSeq lists it as uncharacterized. The transcript has 4 exons. Lineage: Eukaryota; Metazoa; Nemertea; Pilidiophora; Heteronemertea; Lineidae. The record is from RefSeq and is a predicted model, not a curated record.